RNAcentral lists this transfer RNA (71 nucleotides) under Streptococcus agalactiae. RNAcentral describes it as "tRNA-Gly". The record is from RNAcentral. Lineage: Bacteria; Bacillati; Bacillota; Bacilli; Lactobacillales; Streptococcaceae.
AGCGGGUGACGAGAAUCGAACUCGCGACAACAGCUUGGAAGGCUGUAGUUUUACCACUAAACUACACCCGC